RNAcentral lists this long non-coding RNA (1377 nucleotides) under Helianthus annuus (common sunflower). RNAcentral's name for it is "hypothetical non coding rna". Lineage: Eukaryota; Viridiplantae; Streptophyta; Magnoliopsida; Asterales; Asteraceae. The record is from RNAcentral.
UUAUACGUCAAUAAUCAUGUGAGACCAAAUUAUUAUACAUCUUUAGCCAAAGAUACACGAAAUAAUAUCGUGUAUCUACUUUAUUUUCCAUGUUCACAUGUCAUAAAUAUCUCUUAACGUCCAAACUUGACUCACUUUUUAAGAAAAUAAAAGUAUAUACUCACCAAAAAAUCUCUUAUAAAUGAGAUGGUUAGUGGUCAGUUUGUCAUUUUAAGAUGAUAAUCAAACAUAAAUGAAACACAUGAAUAAUUGUUGUGUGUUUCAUCGUUAUAAAGGUAAAAACUCUCCAAUUUGGGGAGUGCGUUAGCCUAAUACAAGAAAGUCGCCGUUCCAAAAAAAAGUAAGACAGUAACCAAAAAGACCGACCGGUUCGGUUAUCAAGUGGUAACAAAAAAAAAUCCAAAUCGGAAUAAAUUAACACGAAUAAAUCGAUAUCCGAUCCGAUGGACACCACAUGGUAUUGAUAAGCUAUUAACAUCAUGACAUGUUUAAGAGGGUGUUUGGGAUUACGUUUUGAAGUGGUUAUUUGAUUAUUGCGUUUGUAAAACAUAAAUAAUCUAAAAAAGUGUUUGGAUGAAAAAGUGAUUAUCUGCCUUGAACAAUACAAAGGUCGAAGAAAAAAAAAGAAAUAUUAUUUAUUCAAAAAAAGAAACCAAAAUGCAGUUUUGAAGAAGCAUGUAGCUACAUGUUUUUUCAAAACGCAAUUUUGAAAAAGCAAAAUCCAUUUUGCCUAAGACCAUAGGUAAUGGUUAAUGCCCACUAAGGGGCAUUUUUCACCACAUCAUCAUCAUAAUGCCCUUUUAAAAAAGUUGUAAUGGUUAAUGCCUAUUUCAUUUAUUACUUUCCAUUAUUUUUCUUCUCUUUGGGCAUUAUUAUAGAAAUGCCCCUCACUCUUCAUGCCCCUAUAUAAUGCCCAUGAGUAAUGGUGUAAGGGCAUUAUCAAAAUCUUUCAUGCCCUUAUAAAGCCCCAUUACAUAUGGUCUAAAUAAGCAAAAAAACAUAAACAAGGACCACGCUACAAGUUUCAUCAUUAAUCAAACCAAAUUCCAUAAAUAGAAUAAAGAAUAAUUGUAAUCACUAAUUCUGUGUUUAUUUCAAGUAGAUAUUUAUUUGAAUCUGCUAAGCUGCAACAUUCGAUUAUAAAAAAAAAAAAAAAAAAAUUAGGGUUUCCUGGUUCCAUGAACAACGACGCAACAAUCAAAGUGGAAACGAUAAGAUAAUAUAUAUGAGUUAAUCUAAUAAAUUAAAGCAUAAUCACACGUUGAAAUAAACUCCAAAUUCAACAAUAUUGUGACUGGAAAAUGAAAUACACGUGGGUUGAGAUAACACACCUCCGGUGACCGGAAAAUCGGUUUGAUCAUGAACAGAUUUUUAUAA